CGAACGCUGGCGGCGUGCUUAACACAUGCAAGUCGAACGGAAAGGCCCUGCUUUUGUGGGGUGCUCGAGUGGCGAACGGGUGAGUAACACGUGAGUAACCUGCCCUUGACUUUGGGAUAACUUCAGGAAACUGGGGCUAAUACCGGUUAGGAGCUCCUGCUGCAUGGUGGGGGUUGGAAAGUUUCGGCGGUUGGGGAUGGACUCUCGGCUUAUCAGCUUGUUGGUGGGGUUGUGGCUUACCAAGGCUUUGACGGGUAGCCGGCCUGAGUGGGGUACCGGCAACAGGGGGAUGGAGAAAGGGCCGAGAGGACGGGGGGGGGGAGAAGGGGGGAAUAUGGAAAAAGGGGGGGAGGCGGGAGGAAGCAAGGCGGGGGGGGGGAGGAGGGCCUGGGGGUGGAAAAAAAGGUGCGGAGGGGAAGAAGGGGGAGUGAGGGAAAGGGGAAAAAAAGCACGGGCAAAAAAGGGG
Molecule: ribosomal RNA, 466 nt
Filed under: uncultured bacterium
Lineage: Bacteria
Description: partial 16S ribosomal RNA
Rfam family: Bacterial small subunit ribosomal RNA (bases 18-330)
Source: RNAcentral